This 1391-nucleotide ribosomal RNA is filed under the name uncultured bacterium. Its description in RNAcentral is "bacterial SSU rRNA". It matches the Rfam family "Bacterial small subunit ribosomal RNA". The record is from RNAcentral.
AGAGUUUGAUCCUGGCUCAGGAUGAACGCUGGCGGCGUGCUUAACACAUGCAAGUCGAGCGAAGCAGAUAUGCGGAAUUUUUCGGAAGGAAGCGUAGCUGACUGAGCGGCGGACGGGUGAGUAACGCGUGGAUAACCUGCCUCAUACAGGGGGAUAACAGUUAGAAAUGACUGCUAAUACCGCAUAAGCGCACAGAGAUGCAUGUCUCAGUGUGAAAAGCUGAGGCGGUAUGAGAUGGAUCCGCGUCUGAUUAGCUGGUUGGCGGGGUAGAGGCCCACCAAGGCGACGAUCAGUAGCCGACCUGAGAGGGUGGCCGGCCACAUUGGGACUGAGACACGGCCCAAACUCCUACGGGAGGCAGCAGUGGGGGAUAUUGCACAAUGGGGGAAACCCUGAUGCAGCAACGCCGCGUGAGUGAAGAAGUAUUUCGGUAUGUAAAGCUCUAUCAGCAGGGAAGAGAAUGACGGUACCUGACUAAGAAGCCCCGGCUAACUACGUGCCAGCAGCCGCGGUAAUACGUAGGGGGCGAGCGUUAUCCGGAUUUACUGGGUGUAAAGGGAGCGUAGACGGCUGGUCAAGUCUGAAGUGAAAGCCCGGGGCUUAACCCCGGAACGGCUUUGGAAACUGAGCAGCUAGAGUGCUGGAGAAGUAUGCGGAAUGCGCGGUGUAGCGGUGAAAUGCAAAGAUAUCGCGCAGAACUCCGAUUGCGAAGGCAGCAUGCCGGCUCCACACUGACGCUGAGGCACGAAAGCGUGGGUAUCGAACAGGAUUAGAUACCCUGGUAGUCCACGCAGUAAACGAUGAAUGCUGGCUGUCCGGGGGGACUGACCCCUGGGUGGCGAAGCGAAAGCGAUAAGCAUUCCACCUGGGGAGUACGCCGGCAACGGUGAAACUCAAAGGAAUUGACGGGGGCCCGCACAAGCGGAGGAACAUGUGGUUUAAUUCGAUGAUACGCGAGGAACCUUACCCGGGCUCAAACGGGGAGUGACUCAGGCAGAGACGCCUGUUUCCCACGGGACACUCCCCGAGGUGCUGCAUGGUUGUCGUCAGCUCGUGCCGUGAGGUGUCGGCUUAAGUGCCAUAACGAGCGCAACCCCCGCGUGCAGUUGCUAACAGAUAACGCUGAGGACUCUGCACGGACUGCCGGCGCAAGCCGCGAGGAAGGCGGGGAUGACGUCAAAUCAGCACGGCCCUUACGUCCGGGGCGACACACGUGUUACAAUGGGUGGUACAGCGGGAAGCCAGGCGGCGACGCCGAGCGGAACCCGAAAUCCACUCUCAGUUCGGAUCGGAGUCUGCAACCCGACUCCGUGAAGCUGGAUUCGCUAGUAAUCGCGCAUCAGCCAUGGCGCGGUGAAUACGUUCCCGGGCCUUGCACACACCGCCCGUCA